This 488-nucleotide ribosomal RNA is filed under the name uncultured bacterium. RNAcentral's name for it is "partial 16S ribosomal RNA". It matches the Rfam family "Bacterial small subunit ribosomal RNA", at positions 28 to 507 of the family's 1533-position model. The record is from RNAcentral.
GACGAACGCUGGCGGCGUGCUUAAUACAUGCAAGUCGAACGGAAAGGCCCUGCUUUUGUGGGGUGCUCGAGUGGCGAACGGGUGAGUAACACGUGAGUAACCUGCCCUUGACUUUGGGAUAACUUCAGGAAACUGGGGCUAAUACCGGAUAGGAGCUUCUGCUGCAUGGUGGGGGUUGGAAAGUUUCGGCGGUUGGGGAUGGACUCGCGGCUUAUCAGCUUGGUGGUGAGGUUGUGGCUUUCCAAGGGUUCGAUGGGUAGCCGGCCUGACAGGGUGACCGGCCACACUGGAAGUGAGACACGGCCCAGAGGCCUACGGGAGGCCGCAGUAGGGAAUCGGGAGCAAUGGGCGGAAGCAUGACGGAGCAAGGCGGAGGGAGUGAUGAAGGACUUCGGAUCGGAAAACUCUGUUAUUAGGGAAGAACACAUGUGCAAGUAACGGGGCACAUAUUGACGGUAACUGGUAAGAAAGCCACGGCUAACUACGUG